CUACUGCACUCACCACUACGAGAGGUGUAAGUGACCCCAGGCUACUGCACUCGCCACUACGAGAGGUGUAAGUGACCCCAGGCUACUGCACUCACCACUACGAGAGGUGUGAGUGACCCCAGGCUGCUGCACUCACCACUACGAGAGGUGUGAGUGACCCUAGGCUACUGCACUCACCACUACAAGAGGUGUGAGUGACCACAGGCUACUGUACUCACAACUGCGAGAGGUGUGAGUGUGACCCCAGGCUACUGCACUUACCACUACGAGAGGUGUGAGUGACCCCAGGCUGCUACACUCACCACUACGAGAGGUGUGAGGGACCCCAGGCCACUGCACUCACCACUACGAGAGGUGUGAGUGACCCCAGACUACUGCACUCCGUUACAAUCACAGUAUUGGAGAGUGUUGCUGAUUGACCUACCCACUCUUGUGAGUUGUCAUUAGUUUAGAAGUGUG
Molecule: non-coding RNA, 459 nt
Organism: Cherax quadricarinatus
Lineage: Eukaryota; Metazoa; Arthropoda; Malacostraca; Decapoda; Parastacidae
Source: RefSeq, a predicted model, not a curated record